CCCGGCUAACUACGUGCCAGCAGCCGCGGUAAUACGUAGGGGGCUAGCGUUAUCCGGAUUUACUGGGCGUAAAGGGUGCGUAGGCGGUCUUUCAAGUCAGGAGGGAAAGGCUACGGCUCAACCGUAGUAAGCUCUUGAAACUGGGAGACUUGAGUGCAGGAGAGGAGAGUGGAAUUCCUAGUGUAGCGGUGAAAUGCGUAGAUAUUAGGAGGAAC
RNAcentral lists this ribosomal RNA (215 nucleotides) under Clostridioides difficile. RNAcentral describes it as "partial 16S ribosomal RNA". It matches the Rfam family "Bacterial small subunit ribosomal RNA", at positions 492 to 707 of the family's 1533-position model. Lineage: Bacteria; Bacillati; Bacillota; Clostridia; Peptostreptococcales; Peptostreptococcaceae. The record is from RNAcentral.